RNAcentral lists this unclassified non-coding RNA (350 nucleotides) under Hevea brasiliensis (rubber tree). The record is from RNAcentral. Lineage: Eukaryota; Viridiplantae; Streptophyta; Magnoliopsida; Malpighiales; Euphorbiaceae.
AUCUUCUUUGUUGCAAUAAUUGUAAUAAGCUGACCACAGGCCAUCCAACAUUUCUCUCUCUCUAUCUCUCUCUAUCCAUAGACUUGAAUACCAAAGCUUCCUCUCUCUAGAAUUUCACUCUUAUUUCUUCUUUUUUUUUUUUUUUCUUUUUGUUUUGGUUAAUUGCCUAAAUUUUUUCCUUGAAAAUUGCUUUCUGCUCAAGCCUGUUGUCUUUCUCUUCUUUUCCCGUCGUUUUUAGUUCUUGGGUUUCUCUUCGGGUUGGUUUCUGGGUUAUAAGUGGUUUUUCGCAUGGCUGGUCGCUACGAUGCUAACCCUUUUGAUGAAGAAGAAGUUAAUCCCUUUUCUGAUCC